This 458-nucleotide ribosomal RNA is filed under the name uncultured bacterium. Its description in RNAcentral is "SSU rRNA". It matches the Rfam family "Bacterial small subunit ribosomal RNA", at positions 26 to 518 of the family's 1533-position model. The record is from RNAcentral.
AGAAUCAACGCUGGCGGCGUGCCUAACACAUGCAAGUCGAACGAGAAAGUGGAGCAAUCCAUGAGUACAGUGGCGACCGGGUGAGUAACACGUGACUACCUACCCUUGAGUGGGGGAUAACCUCGGGAAACCGAGGCUAAUACCGCAUAAUAUCGAGAGAUCAAAGGAGUAAUCCGCUUUUGGAGGGGGUCGCGGCUGAUUAGCUAGUUGGUAGGGUAAUGGCCUACAAAGGCGAAGAUCGGUAUCCGGCCUGAGAGGGCGCACGGACACACUGGAACUGAAACACGGUCCAGACUCCUACGGGAGGCAGCAGUGGGAAUUUUGCGCAAUGGGGGAAACCCUGACGCAGCAACGCCGCGUGGAGGAUGAAGCCCCUUGGGGUGUAAACUCCUUUCGACCGGGAAAAUAAUGAUGGUGCCGGUGGAAGAAGCACCGGCUAACUCUGCGCCAGCAGCCGC